CCUACGGGUGGCAGCAGUGGGGAAUAUUGCACAAUGGGGGAAACCCUGAUGCAGCGACGCCGCGUGAGUGAAGAAGUAUUUCGGUAUGUAAAGCUCUAUCAGCAGGGAAGAAAAUGACGGUACCUGAUUAAGAAGCGCCGGCUAACUACUUGCCAGCAGCCGCGGUAAUACGUAGGGGGCAAGCCUUAGCCGGAUUUACUGGGUGUAAAGUGAGCGGAGACGGCAGCACAAGGCUGGAGUGAAAUGCCCGGGCUUAACCCCGGAACUGCUUUGGAUACUGUGCAGCUAGAGUGCUGGAGAGGUAAGUGGAAUUCCUAGUGAAGCGGUGAAAUGCGUAGAUAUUAGGAGGAACACCAGUGGCGAAGGCGGCUUACUGG
Molecule: ribosomal RNA, 377 nt
Filed under: uncultured bacterium
Lineage: Bacteria
Description: partial 16S ribosomal RNA
Rfam family: Bacterial small subunit ribosomal RNA
Source: RNAcentral